Molecule: transfer RNA, 74 nt
Filed under: Microcaldota archaeon
Lineage: Archaea; Nanobdellati; Microcaldota
Description: tRNA-Thr
Rfam family: tRNA
About the family: Transfer RNA (tRNA) molecules are approximately 80 nucleotides in length.
Source: RNAcentral
GCCUCUGUAACUCAGACUGGCAGAGUGCGUGCAUGGUAAGCACGAAGCCGGGGGUUCAAAUCCCCCCAGAGGCU